GUGAGGAAUAUUGCGCAAUGGAGGCAACUCUGACGCAGCCAUGCCGCGUGCAGGAAGAAGGCGCUACGCGUUGUAAACUGCUUUUAACCGGGAAGAAACCCCAGGACGUGUCCUGGGUUGACGGUACCGGAGGAAUAAGCACCGGCUAACUUCGUGCCAGCAGCCGCGGUAAUACGAAGGGUGCAAGCGUUAUCCGGAUUCAUUGGGUUUAAAGGGUGCGUAGGCGGAGCGUUAAGUCAGUGGUGAAAUCCUGCAGCUUAACUGUAGACUUGCCAUUGAUACUGGCGCUCUUGAGUGCGCUUGAAGUGGGCGGAAUGUGCCGUGUAGCGGUGAAAUGCUUAGAUAUGGCACAGAACACCAAUUGCGAAGGCAGCUCACUAAGGCGAUACUGACGCUGAGGCACGAAAGCGUGGGGAUCGAACAGGAUUAGACACCCUGGUAGUCC
This 445-nucleotide ribosomal RNA is filed under the name uncultured bacterium. RNAcentral describes it as "partial 16S ribosomal RNA". It matches the Rfam family "Bacterial small subunit ribosomal RNA", at positions 354 to 796 of the family's 1533-position model. The record is from RNAcentral.